AAUGAACGCUGGCGGCGUGCCUAACACAUGCAAGUCGUACGAGAAAUCCCGAGCUUGCUUGGGAGAGUAAAGUGGCGCACGGGUGAGUAACGCGUGGGUAACCCACCUUCGAAUCUGGGAUAACUCCGCGAAAGCGGUGCUAAUACCGGAUAAGACCACAUUCCGUUCGCGGAAAGAGGUAAAAGCUGACCUCUCCAUGGAAGUUAGCGUUCGAGGACGGGCCCGCGUCCUAUCAGCUUGUUGGUGGGGUAAUGGCCUACCAAGGCUGCGACGGGUAGCUGGUCUGAGAGGAUGAUCAGCCACACUGGAACUGGAACACGGUCCAGACUCCUACGGGAGGCAGCAGUGAGGAAUUUUGCGCAAUGGGGGAAACCCUGACGCAGCAACGCCGCGUGGGUGAAGAAGGCUUUCGGGUCGUAAAGCCCUGUCAGGUGGGAAGAAACACUUCAGCACUAAUAAUGCUGAAGUCUGACGGUACCACCAGAGGAAGCACCGGCCAACUCCGUG
This 507-nucleotide ribosomal RNA is filed under the name uncultured bacterium. Its description in RNAcentral is "bacterial SSU rRNA". It matches the Rfam family "Bacterial small subunit ribosomal RNA", at positions 29 to 507 of the family's 1533-position model. The record is from RNAcentral.